Molecule: ribosomal RNA, 260 nt
Filed under: uncultured bacterium
Lineage: Bacteria
Description: partial 16S ribosomal RNA
Rfam family: Bacterial small subunit ribosomal RNA
Source: RNAcentral
GUCCACGCCGUAAACGUUGGGCGCUAGGUGUGGGGCUCAUUCCACGAGUUCCGUGCCGCAGCUAACGCAUUAAGCGCCCCGCCUGGGGAGUACGGCCGCAAGGCUAAACUCAAAGGAAUUGACGGGGCCCGCACAAGUGGCGGAGCAUGUUGCUUAAUUCGAUGCAACGCGAAGAACCUUACCUAGGCUUGACAUGCACGGAAAUCUCGUAGAGAUACGGGGUCCGUAAGGGCCGUGCACAGGUGGUGCAUGGUUGUCGU